RNAcentral lists this long non-coding RNA (389 nucleotides) under Elaeis guineensis (African oil palm). RNAcentral describes it as "long non-coding RNA (EGUI_LNC048986)". Lineage: Eukaryota; Viridiplantae; Streptophyta; Magnoliopsida; Arecales; Arecaceae. The record is from RNAcentral.
UUGGAAAGAAUUAAAUGGAAGAAAAUCAGAGUCCAAACUAAUUCUACAUGAGGAGCAAACUGAGAAAGAAUUGGAACCAAUUCUUGAAAAACUUGAUUUGGACAGUCGAAACCUUACUUUGUUUUGCAGAUUUUGUGGACCCAGGAAGGAAGAAAUUCUUCUCCUCUAAUUAACCAUGCCUCCUUUCCUUCUUUUACUAUGAAAAUCAUAAUAAAAUCAAAAAAUUUGGGCAGCAUAAGGAGUAGAUGGCGGGUGGUUGCUUAAAGCCUAUCCAAAGGAGGAGAGAUUCUAUACCAAAUAAAAAGAAUGAUAUAUAGAAUAAAGUCAUGGGAAAAAUAUCAUCUUAACCCUAGCCCUAGCCCUAUUUAAGGAUCCUAAAACACCAGCUG